AUGAACGCUAGCGGCAGGCCUAAUACAUGCAAGUCGAACGAGAUUGAGGAGCUUGCUCUUCAUGAAAGUGGCGCACGGGUGCGUAACGCGUAUGCAACCUACCUUAAUCAGGGGGAUAGCCUCUCGAAAGAGAGAUUAACACCGCAUAAAAUCACAAGCUGGCAUCAGCAAAUGAUCAAAUAUUUAUAGGAUUAAGAUGGGCAUGCGUGACAUUAGCUAGUUGGUAAGGUAACGGCUUACCAAGGCUACGAUGUCUAGGGGAUCUGAGAGGAUGACCCCCCACACUGGUACUGAGACACGGACCAGACUCCUACGGGAGGCAGCAGUAAGGAAUAUUGGUCAAUGGGGGCAACCCUGAACCAGCCAUGCCGCGUGCAGGAAGACGGCCCUACGGGUUGUAAACUGCUUUUAUACGGGAAUAAACCUCUUUACGUGUAGAGAGUUGAAUGUACUGUAAGAAUAAGGAUCGGCUAACUCCGU
Molecule: ribosomal RNA, 480 nt
Filed under: uncultured bacterium
Lineage: Bacteria
Description: bacterial SSU rRNA
Rfam family: Bacterial small subunit ribosomal RNA
Source: RNAcentral